CAGAAUCGGGGUCGCAUAGUUUGGUACAUUUUUGUACUUCCUGGAUGCAUGGCGAACCUUGAACUAUGGGACUCUGUCAUGAUGUCUCUUUUUAAUUCAUUGUCGUCUGGGACACACAUUCUGUCCUUGAAACGAAUCAAUCCGUCGGCAGAGAUCUGAAAUUCUGAGUUCACUCCCUGUUCUGCAUCCUUCUUGCGGUUUACUAGGGCGGGGUCGAUUGACUGGGCUUCCUUUAUUCUUUGGAUUAACUCGGGUUGGACUGCUAGGUGGUUCAAA
This 276-nucleotide long non-coding RNA is filed under the name Carica papaya (papaya). RNAcentral describes it as "long non-coding RNA (CPAP_LNC014212)". Lineage: Eukaryota; Viridiplantae; Streptophyta; Magnoliopsida; Brassicales; Caricaceae. The record is from RNAcentral.